AGCUAUAGCCAUUUCAUCCUGCAUCCCCAGACUGGUUAGUCACUAAAGCUAAGCAAGGCUGAGCCUGGUCAGUACCUGAAUGGGAGACCACAUGGGAACACUAGGUUGCUGUCAGAA
Molecule: non-coding RNA, 117 nt
Organism: Danio rerio (zebrafish)
Lineage: Eukaryota; Metazoa; Chordata; Actinopteri; Cypriniformes; Danionidae
Source: Rfam